ACACUAUUACUAUUUCUCUUCAUGAGCAGCAACAAAUAUGUGUUCGGUGU
This 50-nucleotide small RNA is filed under the name Caenorhabditis elegans. RNAcentral describes it as "Unclassified non-coding RNA F54E2.7". The record is from RNAcentral. Lineage: Eukaryota; Metazoa; Nematoda; Chromadorea; Rhabditida; Rhabditidae.